CAGGAAUUUGACAACAAAACAAAACAAAGCGAGAUAUGUCGAGCCAACAAAGAAGGCGCAGUUGGAAAAUUGAGUAAUUAGUAAUGAAGUAGCAGGCAUAUUUGGAAAAUUAUGCCGAUAAGCAGGAUGGAAUUUGGG
Molecule: long non-coding RNA, 138 nt
Organism: Rhagoletis zephyria (snowberry fruit fly)
Lineage: Eukaryota; Metazoa; Arthropoda; Insecta; Diptera; Tephritidae
Source: RefSeq, a predicted model, not a curated record